Molecule: unclassified non-coding RNA, 386 nt
Filed under: Hevea brasiliensis (rubber tree)
Lineage: Eukaryota; Viridiplantae; Streptophyta; Magnoliopsida; Malpighiales; Euphorbiaceae
Source: RNAcentral
UGAGCUUAGAAAUAGGAAAAAGAAAGAAGGUUCAAAGCCCAGCUUAGCAAAUACCCUUGUACAUCCAACUCGGCCCUACCCAGAAUUCCUAGAAUUUGGGAGGAAGCCAAGCCGCCACAUCCGUUGCCAAUCAAACUAUCGUUUCUCCUACCAUGCCAAAUUAGAUCACCGGCGAGAUUUAAAACUACUAGCUUAUUAGAGAUCUCAUAGAGACCCAACACAUCCGCUAAACCCUUGCUUCAACCCCGUCGACAGUGGACUUCCUUACUACUAGAACAAAACCAUCGCCAAGGUCAGGAAAGCUAUGUGAUAGAGCUCCUCAGCAUCUAAAUCUCAUUUAGCCUUUAGGGACCACGUUCAGCCGCAAUGUAAGGUUAAACCUGGAG